GGGUCUUGCUUUCACCAUCUCGGGAAUGCAUAUAAGGGUGUCUGGAUGGAACUUGGCUCCAAAGCUGACAGAUGCCCCUGCCCCCAUCUGGAGACAAGGCUGCCUGGGGCCAGGCCCCCUCCCAACCUGGGGGUCUACGGUGAGACACCCAGGUGCCCCUCAGAUCGUGGAAGUGGUCUGCAGGAGCUGGGCAAGCCAACUGAGGCACCUCCUCGGGCUCAGGGGCAGCUCCUAUGGCAGACCCCAAGGAAGCAGACUUUGAAUCCAUGAAGGGAGCUGUGCCAGGACAAGAAGGAGGAUGCAGGGGCAAGAAGCCCUGGGUCCACAGGUCAGCUGUCACUGGCUGGGAGAGCCGGGGCCAGGCAGCUCCCCGGGUCAGGGAGGCCACAGGAGACAAGCUCAUUCACAUGCCAGCAGCUGCAGAGCUGACUUCCAGCUUCCUCGCCUCCCCCAACCCUGCCGGGGCAGGGCAGAAAAAGCUGCCCCCAAGGAGACCCAGCUGGCUACAGACAAAGGCAGAUGCUGCAGACAAGGAGACCAGAGAACAAAGUCAAGAGCCUCUGGAAGGAAUCAGACCUAGCUCCCCGAGGCGCCAUGCAGAGCCUGGUUCCCCACCCCAGAGCGGUACUGGCCAGAGGCCAGGACUGCAGCCUCCCUGGUGUGGGCAGAGGGUGGGGGCAGCACAGACUUCUAGAUCUGGGUUCCCAAACACUAUGCAGAGGCUAGCUGGGGAAAGAGCAAGACUGGGUCCCUCCCACUCCCCUUUCCCAAGCCUUGUCCCCACUUCACUGAGAUUUCUCUCUCCAAGGUCACCCGCCAUCUCUGAGCCUCUCAGUCCAAGGGCCUCGUCCUGUAUCUCUGCACAUGGGACCCUACUGAUCACCCCGCCUCCCUCGGCUUCAGGGACACUGCUGUCCCUGGCUGACCACUCACUCUCAGGCUUCUUACCCCAACACCCACCAAGUUCCAAGACUCCACCUGGGUCCCUCCACUCCUUACAGCCCCUCCCUCAUGGUGAUCUCAUCCAGUCCAACUCAGUCAUUUAGUAACAAGUCUGUAUCAGGGCUCUGCCCAGAACAUCAGUCCCGAUCCCUGCCUGCCUGCUGGAUGGGCCUGGAGGCCCAGAGGUAUCUCAGACUCAACGUGCCCAGCCCUGCCUGCUCCCUCCCACCGGUCCCUACUUCUGUCAGGCAUCACCGUCUUUCUUCCACCUGGGUUCCCAUCCUCAUCUCCCUACGCACACUCCCCUCCUAUCUCCAAUCUGUGGCCAAAUCUUAUCUUUUCUACCUUCCCCAAAUCUCUUCUAGACACCAUGGGCACCCCCGGGGCGGGGUCCUCCUCUCCUUGUGCCUGGACCACAGACUCCUGCAGCCUGCUGGCCCGUCUCCCUGCCCCUCCUCACUCAGAUGUGUCUGUCCUUCACUCAGCUGCUGAAGGGACCUGCCUAGUGUGGGCCUGAUCGCCUUACUGCUUCCUAAGAAAUGCCUGAGGCUCCUUAUUACCUCCAGGAAAAAGUCAAUCCUGCUCUGCCUUGUGGCUUAAAGCAGCGCCUCCUCCCUGCAGCCCCCAAUCUAGAUCCCUCCACCUUUCCUGCCUCAUCUCAUAUUAAUCCCCCCCAAGACCUUUGUGUUCCAGCUGGGCUGGCCUGCUGCCUUCCUUCCCUCAUCCAUGGAGAGCCUUCUUACCCCCUUGGAAUUCCUGCUAUCCUCCAAGGUUCAAUUCACCUGCCACCUCCUCCAGGGAGCCCUCCCUGAUUCCUCCAGAUGGGAGGUUCCCUCUCUCUGGUGGAAACCACCUUGCCAUCUUUGCAGCCGUCUCCACUGACUUAGCAGGGUCUGGGCUGCACCUUUGUGGCACGCGGCAAACACCUGGAGGGUAGGGGCUGUCUCUUACUUUUCUCUUUGUAUUGCCAGAGCUCAGCGCAGGCCUCUGCACAGAAUAGGCUUCCUAAGUGGUUUUUCAUUCACUUAUUUAUUCACUCACUCAUUCAUUCUUCCAUCCAUCCAUCCAUCCAUCCAUCCAUCCAUCCAUCCAACCACUCAGGGGGCAUCCUGGGGGAGCUCACAGAGGAGAAGGAAGUAAAAAGGCAGGCUGUUGUCAGCAUCUCACGCUUCCUCGGGGAGGGGGGAGGGGAUGGGCCAGUGACCAGCCACCACCUGGCCAGCGGGGAACUUUGAGCCUCCCUAGCCUUGCGAUGGCCUGACAGGAGGAUGAACACCAGGAAGCGGCCAGCUCUUGGAGCGCUGGAGGAGAAACGGGAGGACCAUUGGAUAGGGACUCGGUUGUUUUCAGCUGAGAAGAAUGAGGGACACUGGACCGUGCUCAUGGGCAGAAAUGGGGAGAGAAUACGGCUCAGCGGCUCCUGCUGGCUGCGAAGCAGGAAGGCAAGAGACCAUUCAUGGGAGGAGGCGGCCCCAGGAGGGGCUGGCACCUUUAGCCAUUGAGGCAUAUGCCUCCUAACCCUGGGGGCACCUACAAAGAGCCUACUGUGGGCCACAUACUGUGCCAGGACAAGGACAAAGACAGCGAUGACCAUCCCUGCCCAUCCUCAAGGAACUUACAGUUGGGAUGGGGUGGAGGACGAUGUCAUGGAGAGAAAAGAUGCAGAAACACGAGGUCAUCUGAAGAGGAUUGGGCGCUGCCAAUGGUGGGGGCAGGCUGGGCAAAGUGAAAAGCAUGACUGCCUUUUUAACCUGUUUGGAAUCCUAUUUGACACCCACUGGGAGCAUUCCUGAAGCUCCUGCA
Non-coding RNA from Phascolarctos cinereus (koala), 2745 nucleotides. Lineage: Eukaryota; Metazoa; Chordata; Mammalia; Diprotodontia; Phascolarctidae. The record is from RefSeq and is a predicted model, not a curated record.